CUCCAGCUUCUCCAGCAUCGACGAAAUUCUGCACCAACAGAAUUGGUGCUAGAAGGAGGGCGGCUGUGUCUUCGCAGUGCCUUUGUUCUUAAAGGAGUACUCAACGGGAUUGUCUUCGAUCAUCUUCCUCAAUAUUUUCUUCUUCUUCUCCUACCAGAUCUCCACCUGAUGCCUCCCUGAAAGGCAUCCACCAGGCAUUCCACGGCCUCUACG
Molecule: long non-coding RNA, 213 nt
Filed under: Elaeis guineensis (African oil palm)
Lineage: Eukaryota; Viridiplantae; Streptophyta; Magnoliopsida; Arecales; Arecaceae
Description: long non-coding RNA (EGUI_LNC048276)
Source: RNAcentral